ACUAAGUUAAAUUUUUCCUAUUUACUGGAAGGAAGAGUCUGAUGAUUUGUUACCGAUUUUUUUUUUUGCAUUUUUAAAGUUUUGGAGCUAUCACAUUAUGUUAUCAUUUAUGCUCUUUUCUACUAUGUUUUCUUCCAUACUUACUGAACCUGAGGAGCAACACUGGACCUGCAGCUCCUCUGAUGCAACCAUUGCUUACACCUACUGUGAUGACAUUAAAUUUCCUAUUUUAGUUAGACCUGAUCCCUGUAUAUCAUUGAAAGGCACUGAAGGAUUUUUGCAUAUUUUCUACAUUCCAAGUAAGUAUAUAUAUUUUUUUGUUUCUGUAGAUCAGCUAGUUAUUUAG
Molecule: long non-coding RNA, 346 nt
Filed under: Ictidomys tridecemlineatus (thirteen-lined ground squirrel)
Lineage: Eukaryota; Metazoa; Chordata; Mammalia; Rodentia; Sciuridae
Description: lncRNA (ENSSTOG00000033925.1)
Source: RNAcentral